AUGUACUGGGCGGCGCACACGGCGCACAUCCGCGCGCAACUCGAGCGCGCCCAGCGCCGUUUCAAGAAGCAGGCCGACCGCAACCGCACCGAGCGCCAGUUUCAAGUGGGUGAGCAGGUCCUCUUGAAGCUGCAACCGUAUGUGCAGCAGUCCGUCGUCAGUCGUCCCUGCGCCAAGCUCGCCUACAAAUUCUUCGGACCGUACACCGUCGUCGAGAAGAUCGGCCUCCUAGCGUACAAGCUCGAUCUUCCCGCGUCCAGCCGCGUCCACCCAGUCUUCCAUGUCUCCCAAUUGAAGCCGUUCACGCCAUACUACACUCUCGUGUACGCCGAGCUGCCACGCGUACCAGACCUGUCCGUGUCUAGCGCAGCCCCGACACGCAUUCUGGAACGACGCAUGAUGAAGAGGGGCAAUGCACCAGUCGUUCAAAUCAAGGUGCAGUGGGGCGACAGUUCACCCCUGGCAGUCACCUGGGAGGAUCUCGACGUCCUGCGCUUUCCGGAUGCAAGCAUUUGGGAUGACGACGCCGCCAGCUCUCAGGAGGAGGCACAAUCUCAAGGAGAGGAGAAUGUCACGCCUGGCCACUUGGCCACCACUUGUCCAGCGUGA
This 609-nucleotide ribosomal RNA is filed under the name Triticum aestivum (bread wheat). Its description in RNAcentral is "partial small subunit ribosomal RNA". Lineage: Eukaryota; Viridiplantae; Streptophyta; Magnoliopsida; Poales; Poaceae. The record is from RNAcentral.